This 468-nucleotide ribosomal RNA is filed under the name uncultured bacterium. RNAcentral describes it as "partial 16S ribosomal RNA". It matches the Rfam family "Bacterial small subunit ribosomal RNA", at positions 28 to 507 of the family's 1533-position model. The record is from RNAcentral.
GACGAACGCUGGCGGCGUGCUUAACACAUGCAAGUCGAACGGAAAGGCCCUGCUUUUGUGGGGUACUCGAGUGGCGAACGGGUGAGUAACACGUGAGUAACCUGCCCUUGACUUUGGGAUAACUUCAGGAAACUGGGGCUAAUACCGGAUAGGAGCUCCUGCUGCAUGGUGGGGGUUGGAAAGUUUCGGCGGUUGGGUAUGGACUCGCGGCUUAUCAGCUUGUUGGUGGGGUAGUGGCUUACCAAGGCUUUGACGGGUAGCCGGCCUGAGAGGGUGACCGGCCACAUUGGGACUGAGAUACGGCCCAGACUCCUACGGGAGGCAGCAGUGGGGAAUAUUGCACAAUGGGCGGAAGCAUGAUGAAGCAACGCCGCGUGCGGGAUGACGGCCUUCGGGUUGUAAACAGCUUUCGCCUGUGACGAAGAGUGAGUGACGGUAAUGGGUAAAGAAGCACCGGCUAACUACGUG